GGGCCCGCACAAGCGGUGGAGCAUGUGGUUUAAUUCGAUGCAACGCGAAAAACCUUACCUGGCCUUGACAUGUACCGAAUUUAGCAGAGAUGCUUUAGUGCUCGUAAGAGAACGGUAACACAGGUGCUGCAUGGCUGUCGUCAGCUCGUGUCGUGAGAUGUUGGUUAAGUCCCGCAACGAGCGCAACCCUUGCCAUUAAUUGCCAUCAUUUAGUUGGGCACUUUAAUGGGACUGCCGGUGACAAACCGGAGGAAGGUGGGGAUGACGUCAAGUCCUCAUGGCCCUUAUGGCCAGGGCUUCACACGUAAUACAAUGGACGGUACAGAGGGACGCCAACCGCGAGGGGAGCC
RNAcentral lists this ribosomal RNA (350 nucleotides) under uncultured bacterium. Its description in RNAcentral is "bacterial SSU rRNA". It matches the Rfam family "Bacterial small subunit ribosomal RNA", at positions 917 to 1269 of the family's 1533-position model. The record is from RNAcentral.